GGAUGUGAGGACGAUCUGGCUGUGACAUCUGCCACCUUCAGCGAUUGCCAGGACUGCCUUGGCUGAUCUGGCUGGUGUGGCAGCUGUCCCCUCUUCCUUCCUCACCCCCAACCCCAGCAUCCCCCUUCCUUAUUAGGCAAUAUUUUAAAAUAUUACACUUUUUUUUUGAAAAAGGUAAGCCUGACAAAAUAAUCCAUGUAUUUAAUCACUGUCAAAGCCUUUAGUUUUAGAGAAGAACACGUCUUGUUCUAUAGAGAUCUUUCACUGCAGUGAGAGUGUUU
Molecule: small RNA, 281 nt
Filed under: Meriones unguiculatus (Mongolian gerbil)
Lineage: Eukaryota; Metazoa; Chordata; Mammalia; Rodentia; Muridae
Description: 7SK RNA (ENSMUGG00000020417.1)
Rfam family: 7SK RNA (bases 1-109)
Source: RNAcentral